RNAcentral lists this non-coding RNA (31 nucleotides) under Homo sapiens (human). The record is from RNAcentral. Lineage: Eukaryota; Metazoa; Chordata; Mammalia; Primates; Hominidae.
UAUGAUGGCAAUGUGGACAGGGUUUGUCUUU